GAUGAAGAACGCAGCGAAAUGCGACAAGUAAUGUGAAUUGCAGAAUUCCGUGAAUCAUCGAAUCUUUGAACGCACAUUGCGCCCUCUGGUAUUCCGGGGGGCAUGCCUGUCCGAGCGUCAUUACAACCCUCAAGCUCAGCUUGGUGUUGGGCCCCGCCGCCCCGGCGGGCCCUAAAGUCAGUGGCGGUGCCGUCCGGCUCCGAGCGUAGUAAUUCUUCUCGCUCUGGAGGUCCGGUCGUGUGCUCGCCAGCAACCCCCAAUUUUUUUCAGGUUGACCUCGGAUCAGGUAGGGAUACCCGCUGAACUUAAGCAUAUCAAUAAGCGGAGGA
Molecule: unclassified non-coding RNA, 329 nt
Filed under: soil metagenome
Description: partial contains 5.8S ribosomal RNA, internal transcribed spacer 2, and large subunit ribosomal RNA
Rfam family: 5.8S ribosomal RNA (bases 1-120)
Source: RNAcentral